AGAGUUUGAUCAUGGCUCAGGACGAACGCUGGCGGCGCGCUUUAUACAUGCAAGUCGAACGAGAAGCCAGAGCUUGCUCUGGUGGAAAGUGGCGAACGGGUGAGUAACACGUGAGAAACCUGCCCCAAAGACUGGGAUAAGCCGAGGAAACUUGGUCUAAUACCGGAUACCUCUUUUAUCACAUGUUAAAAAGAAGAAAUGCUCCGGCGCUUUGGGAUGGUCUCGCGACCUAUCAGCUUGUUAGUGAGGUAAAAGCUCACCAAGGCAUCGACGGGUAGCUGGUCUGAGAGGAUGUCCAGCCACAUUGGGACUGAGAUACGGCCCAAACUCCUACGGGAGGCAGCAGUAGGGAAUCUUGCACAAUGAGGGAAACCUUGAUGCAGCGACGCCGCGUGCGGGACGAAGGCCCUAGGGUUGUAAACCGCUUUCAGUAGGGACGAAAGUGACGGUACCUACAGAAGAAGCCCCGGCCAACUAUGUG
Molecule: ribosomal RNA, 481 nt
Filed under: uncultured bacterium
Lineage: Bacteria
Description: bacterial SSU rRNA
Rfam family: Bacterial small subunit ribosomal RNA
Source: RNAcentral